GGAGCCCAGGAGGCGGGGCGCCUGUGGGAGUCGUGGAGGGAACUUUCCCAGGCCCCGAGGCGGAUCGGGUAUUGAGUCCAUGGAGCGAGCUGAGAGCUAGAGUACAGAACCUGCUAAGGCCAUCAAACCUAUCGAUCGGAAGUCAGUCCAUCAGAUUUGCUCUGGGCCGGUGGUACUGAGUCUAAGCACUGCGGUGAAGGAGUUAGUAGAAAACAGUCUGGAUGCUGGUGCCACCAAUAUUGAUCUAAAGCUUAAGGACUAUGGAGUGGAUCUCAUUGAAGUUUCAGACAAUGGAUGUGGGGUAGAAGAAGAAAACUUUGAAGGCUUAACGAUGUCACCAUUUCUACCUGCCACGCAUCGGCGAAGGUUGGGACUCGACUGGUGUUUGAUCACGAUGGGAAAAUCAUCCAGAAAACCCCCUACCCCCACCCCAGAGGGACCACAGUCAGCGUGAAGCAGUUAUUUUCUACACUACCUGUGCACCAUAAGGAAUUUCAAAGGAAUAUUAAGAAGACGUGCCUGUUUCCCCUUCGCCUUCUGCCGUGAUUGUCAGUUUCCUGAGGCCUCCCCAGCCAUGCUUCCUGUACAGCCUGCAGAACUGCCCCUCCAGACAUGUCCAUCUGCCUGCUGUGUUGACUUUUCCCUUUGGAGUCUUGAGGCAGCUACAAGCUUACUGACCAGAAAUGAACUCAAGCUCUCCCCGAAGCCUGGUCCUCUUCCAGGAUCAGCCAGCCUGGAAGAUGGCACUGUCAUCCACCCUGUUCUCAGGCCUGCCACCCAGGAGUCAACCUUAGCCCCAUCUAAUUGUCAGAGGCAUCUGAACCACAGCAACUCCAUCUUGAGUAGGGGAUGGGUAAAAUGAGGCUGAGACCUGCUGGGCUGCAUUCCCAGACAGCCAAGGCAUUAGCCACAGGAUAAGAUAGGCGGUCGGUACAAGACACAGGUCAUAAAGACCUUGCUGAUAAAACAGUUGGCAGUAAAGAAGCCAGCCAAAACCCACUAAAACCAAGAUGGCAACGAGAGUGACCUCUGGUCGUCCUCACUGCUACCCUCCCACCAGCACCAUGACAGUUUACAAAUGCCAUGGCAAUGUCAGAAAGUUACCCUAUAGGGUCUAAAAAGGGGAGGCAUGAAUAAUCUACCCCUUGUUUAGCAUAUCAUCAAGAAAUAACCAUAAAAAUAGGCAACCAGCAGCCCUCAGGGAUGCUCUGUCUAUGGAGUAGCCAUUCUUUUGUUCCUUUACUCUCUUAAUAAACUUGUUUUCACUUUACUCUA
Long non-coding RNA from Homo sapiens (human), 1275 nucleotides. Ensembl annotates it as PMS1 homolog 2, mismatch repair system component pseudogene 4. Its record names the gene PMS2P4. NCBI's taxonomy places the organism in Eukaryota, Metazoa, Chordata, Mammalia, Primates, Hominidae. The record is from Ensembl.